This 31-nucleotide non-coding RNA is filed under the name Homo sapiens (human). Lineage: Eukaryota; Metazoa; Chordata; Mammalia; Primates; Hominidae. The record is from RNAcentral.
UCCCAUGCUGAGAGAGGUCCGCAUGAGCCCC